UUUUUUUUUUUGCUUUUCUUGAACCCCGAACAAAUAUUUUCUUUCGCGCGGAUGAUCCCGGAUCACCGCAUUUGAACCCCGACAACUUCAUAUUACUCUUGUUUGCCAAAUCAUGAACCUCGUUCUCAUUUUGCUUUUCUUGAACCCCGAACAAAUAUUUUCUUUCGCGCGGAUGAUCCCGGAUCACCGCAUUUGAACCCCGACAACUUCAUAUUACUCUUGUUUGCCAAAUCAUGAACCUCGUUCUCCAUUUUCAUGUGAUAAUUCCAUUGGCCAUGUCGGAAAUAACACCAACCACCACUCUGAUGGCGACAUAUCAGAGGGUAUUC
RNAcentral lists this long non-coding RNA (329 nucleotides) under Lathyrus oleraceus (garden pea). RNAcentral's name for it is "Pisum sativum (pea) long non-coding RNA (PSAT_LNC029672)". The record is from RNAcentral. Lineage: Eukaryota; Viridiplantae; Streptophyta; Magnoliopsida; Fabales; Fabaceae.